UUCUGGACUUGCUCUGCAUGUCGGGCUCCCUGCACUUUUGGUGCGGCCAACCGACAUGGGGCUGUCUCUCCACUCUCCCUCCCGUCAUUGAAUUUGUCGGGUUGGGAUGCUCGUGAUCGGUUGCCUGUGCGGUUCUACCCUCUUGCGGGUAGCGAAGUCGUCCCUCGAUGGAUAUUUGCUUGCCCCGCUGACAUUUUGUUGUCGUUUGGGCAGCCGAAAUGUUGGCAAAAUCCUUGUGUUGGUGCGCGGUUGAAUGCCUCGUUGCUAUCGCUUGGAUUUUUGCCGGCUCUCACGGAUGCGGUGCCUAGUGCUAGCUCUGCGGGACUUUGCCCCGCAGACUUCGGGAGGUCCCGUGUACGAAUCAUUGCUCUCAUACGCCGUCUGUCGUGUUGCCGGUGGCGACACGCAGAUCGUGUUCUGCCGUGUCGUCGUUGGCGACGCGGCGCGGAACAGUGUGUCCGGAGCGUGCUCGCGUGCACGGGGAAUGCCUCUCCGUCCGUUCGAGCAGCGAUUUCCGGUUUUGCGUCGUGCGAAGGCCCGCCCGUCCGGGUUGGCGCCGGAGCUGACGUGCCGGCUCUCGUUUAAGACGUGC
RNAcentral lists this unclassified non-coding RNA (592 nucleotides) under Carex capensis. RNAcentral's name for it is "partial external transcribed spacer 1". The record is from RNAcentral. Lineage: Eukaryota; Viridiplantae; Streptophyta; Magnoliopsida; Poales; Cyperaceae.